Pelobates cultripes (western spadefoot toad) is the source of this 1152-nucleotide non-coding RNA. The record is from the annotation of a GenBank genome assembly. Lineage: Eukaryota; Metazoa; Chordata; Amphibia; Anura; Pelobatidae.
GGGAAAGGGAUGCAGCAUCUUCUGAGUUCUGCUGUGAGACGUGGGAUGGUCCAUGAUUUAAGGGACGAAGGGCUAUUCACAUCUGCACCAGGCACAGGGGUACCAGGCCUAGCAGGUGUGCUGGGUAGUGAAAGUUCCUCAGGGAUAUCAGGAGUUUGUGACAUAACUGAAAAAUAUCCUUGUAGUCAUCUUGUAAUGAAUUUGGGUGGGUACUGCUGGGGCUAACUAAAUACCAAGCGGUGAAACAAUUAUGCUUUGUGAGCGUGACAGAUGAGUCCCUGCUAGUUGCCAAGCGUCACUAUCUAUGCGUGGGCCCGAGGGGAAAAAUGAGGCCACCGAACGUUGUGGCGGGGUGUUAGCCUCUCGGUGUCAAUUAAAGCAUAAGAAAGAAUGGGAGUGACAGGUGAGGCACUCUCUUUGCAACAGUGCAAGGUGGCUAGCUAUGAUUUGGCCCGAGGGACGCAUACCUCCGAGUAUGAGGAUGUUGGCCUCGCGGGACCACUAGCCUAUGGAUUAAGACCAGAAAAUAUAUACCUAAUUGGGCCACAUAACCUAGGACCAGUACCACUCUAAACAUAGAAAGUAGUGGGUUCUGGCGUAGUACCUGUUUGUGAGUCAGGCCGAGCUGUCAAGGUAAACAGCGACUGUAAUAAUAUCGAGGUGUUGAUCUGUGGACAUGAGAUUUGAUAUAUAAACGUCUGAGUGUAAGGUAGUAGUUUGGCCAGACCGUGGGCCCUAAAAAAAAAAUAAAAAAAUUACUUACCCGACACUAUGCAGAGGGUAGAUUUAAAUGGAAGAAGAUGACGGCUUCUGUGCUUGUAAAAGCUACCGCCCGACGUUCAAGAACCUAAAAGAGUAAAUUACACACUUAACUAAUUUAAUAUGUAUCAUUGGCCCCAAGAAUGAAUCAUAAUUAAAUUCCAACCAACCUAGAAAGUAAAUACAAUUUGACACAGAUGUCAGGAAUCACAAUUCCUAAGUACGAACCCCCUGGUAUGAACCUGUGGGAAAAGGUCAGGAAAAUCAGGUCACAACAUCCAGGUUUCAACAUUUAUUUUCUUUAGUAGAAUUUUAUAAGUGACAGUAAUAACGUUUGUAACCCGUAGGAUCAAAAUCCUCUGGAGUACUGGUUGAAUUUGUGCCUAUUUCGUG